This 468-nucleotide ribosomal RNA is filed under the name uncultured bacterium. Its description in RNAcentral is "partial 16S ribosomal RNA". It matches the Rfam family "Bacterial small subunit ribosomal RNA", at positions 28 to 507 of the family's 1533-position model. The record is from RNAcentral.
GACGAACGCUGGCGGCGCGCUUAACACAUGCAAGUCGAACGGAAAGGCCCUGCUUUUGUGGGGUGCUCGAGUGGCGAACGGGUGAGUAACACGUGAGUAACCUGCCCUUGACUUUGGGAUAACUUCAGGAAACUGGGGCUAAUACCGGAUAGGAGCUCCUGCUGCAUGGUGGGGGUUUGAAAGUUUCGGCGGUUGGGGAUGGACUCGCGGCUUAUCAGCUUGUUGGUGGGGUAGUGGCUUACCAAGGCUUUGACGGGUAGCCGGCCUGAGAGGGUGACCGGCCACAUUGGGACUGAGAUACGGCCCAGACUCCUACGGGAGGCAGCAGUGGGGAAUAUUGCACAAUGGGCGGAAGCCUGAUGCAGCAACGCCGCGUGCGGGAUGACGGCCUUCGGGUUGUAAACCGCUUUCGCCUGUGACGAAGCGUGAGUGACGGUAAUGGGUAAAGAAGCACCGGCUAACUACGUG